AAGGUUCUUCUACGAAGAUGAAAAGGGAACCCCGUGAGAAUCAGGGACUAUGCCCGUAGCUGUGAGCUUCAGAAGACGCCCGACACACCCUCUGCCACUGUCCAACCCAUACGGACGGGAAGGCUGCUUGGGCGGAAGCGAGCCAGAAGACCUGCCUUGGAACG
This 164-nucleotide non-coding RNA is filed under the name bovine gut metagenome. The record is from RNAcentral.